UGGACACUGGAGAGAGAGCUUUU
This 23-nucleotide microRNA is filed under the name Mus musculus (house mouse). RNAcentral's name for it is "mmu-miR-3095-3p". Lineage: Eukaryota; Metazoa; Chordata; Mammalia; Rodentia; Muridae. The record is from miRBase by way of RNAcentral.